Non-coding RNA from Saimiri boliviensis boliviensis (Bolivian squirrel monkey), 587 nucleotides. The record is from RefSeq and is a predicted model, not a curated record. Lineage: Eukaryota; Metazoa; Chordata; Mammalia; Primates; Cebidae.
GUCUUCAAUCUCUCACUCCCACCCGAACCCCGCUACUGCAGGAUGACGUCAGCACAGCCGGGCCAGGACUGACGGGGCCGCCGGCCAAUCAGCCUCUUCCGUGCACAGGUCCCUGCUGCGUGCCCUGUGGGAACGGUGAAGUAAAACCCUCAGUCUGAGCCUGAGAACCCCUGGCGUGUGUAGCCUAGGUCUGCGAGGAGGCCACAGGGCGGUCCGCAGGGCGGUAGCGGGGCUCUGGGACGCGAGGAGCGGUCGGACGUCCUGCACCCCUCGCGCGCGCACCUGUCGGAAUGGGCCGCCUCUUCCUGCCUACCUGCCCUGCCUCCCUCGCCCCGAAUUUCACCUUAAACCAUGAUGAACCAAGCCCAGUGGAUUCUGAAGCCUGGGACGAUGGCAGGUUCGAGAGAGAAGGGGGCAGCUGGGGGCGGGGCACACGAUUAUGUAGGCGCCCCCACCCCACCCCCACAGAAAUACAUCUGGAAAGCAUAGGCUGGGGACUGGAGGUUAUGGUCUCAUCGACGACUCAAAGAGAGAGAAAACCCUCUGCGUCCCAAGCCAAAGAGAAUAAAAUUCUCCAGUAGAGCCAA